RNA transcript from Chrysoperla carnea, 5601 nucleotides. RefSeq lists it as uncharacterized. NCBI's taxonomy places the organism in Eukaryota, Metazoa, Arthropoda, Insecta, Neuroptera, Chrysopidae. The record is from RefSeq and is a predicted model, not a curated record. The transcript has 16 exons.
UACAAAAAUGUCUUAAAAAUAUUUGUUCGUAUUUCAAAAAGUAUUUGUAUUCGAUGUAGUAGUUUUCUUGAAUUUUGUUACUUUUUUUCUUACAAAAAAGUAAUGGCUAUGUCUUAUUUUAAUCAUGAAUUAUUUAGUUUAUCGGCUGUUAUUGUUAAUAUUAAUGUUAAAUUGUGUGCUAGAAUUGAGAGUGGCGUUAAACAAUUACUAAGCCUUGUAACAAGCAAUGGCGAAUUGGUUUUACACUAUGUUUUUGGGGGUUUAAAACCAAUCGCAAAACGAAUUCCAUGGUUUGAAGAAACGAAAAAGACUAUUCAACAUAUUUGUUUUGACCCUACGGCAACUUGGCUUCUUGUACUCACCUUAGAUUCAUCCUUGUAUAUAGUACCUGCAUUAAAAAUAUUAGAUCCUGACCAAAAAAUCGAUUGCAAGUGGUCCGUAAAUGAUUUAACAUACUUUCCAAAAACAAACAAAACUCCAGAUGCAACACCAGGAUGUGUAAUAUGGUGGCAAACACUCGAAUGCAAUCAAAAUGCGAUUAUUGGUUAUGAUAGUGGUGAAAUAUGUUUUGUCAGUUUAACGGAUGGUCAAACUAUCGGGACAACAACAAUUACUGGACCUGUAGUCAAUUUACAUUUGUGUCAGGAUAAUAGUUUAGAUUCUGUAACAUUGUUAAUAACUAGUGAAAGUAAACAACAAUGGCGGUUGUUAUUAGAACAACGCUCUACCAGUUACAUUUGGGCGUCUGAUUGUAGUUUCAUACCAAAAUUAUCAAAUCAUCCCGAUUUAUCGAUUCUCACCAGUAAUUUUCAAUCGGAGAAUGAAAUUAAAGGUAGUACACGAUCACGAUUACAAGGUUUAAAACAAAUGAGCGUGGAUAAAUUGGCUACGUUACGACAAAAGUUAGCUGAAACACGAUCAAAAGGAAUUAAUUUAACUCGAAAAGGUAUCAAAGAUUACUCAAUGACAAAUAUGCCUGAAAGGAAGUAUUCUGGAAAUGAAUUUACUGGCCAAGUAAAUGAUAUUACUGUACCAGAAAAGUUAACAAAUUUAGGUGAAACUUUUUUACGACCACAGUAUGCAAAAAAUCGACAUUUAUUUUCAGGAUAUUUUAAUCCAACAAGUCUUUUAACUAUCCAUGGUGUCGAAGUUGAUGGAAUGCCUUUAUAUGUGCAUAAAUUACAUUUAAAUUGUCGAGAUAUAUUAAUGACCGAUCGAUUCUUUUACACUGUUGAUCAAAAUUAUAACAGUGUUUCAAUUGUCAGUUGUCAAUUGUCUGAAUCCCGUUUGGAUGGAGAUUGUGAGUUCAAUCCAGAUGCACUAAUUGCAACAUUCGAAUUACCAAAUAAAAACGAAAUAGUCUUAGCUAUUUACAAAUUGACUGAUAUAUCAUUAAUUAUCGAUCGUGGUAAUGUUGAUUCAGGAACAAAAUCAGAUCCAGUAUUUACUUUACCCAGAACUGUUAAUGAUUUACAUAUCCGUAAUCCAAAAGUAGAUACAUGUGUUAUUGUUACAAAUUUUGGAGUUUAUAAAAUUAUACUCAAAUGUUCUAUUAUCCAAGUUUUUAUGUAUUUUGUAUGUGAAGAAAAUAAUAUUGAAAAAGCAGAAAAAUUAGCUUUAAUUUUUGGACUAAAUUUACAACAACUUUUAGAAUAUGCUGGUGAUUUGUUACUAGCAAAUAGUAGAUUUAUUGAUGCAAUAUCUUUGUAUAAAUUAUCGAGGUGCCGUCUUUUAAAAUCAGUGUUAAAAUUUGCGGUAGCGGGCAAUGCGAAUGAAUUAUUAACAUAUAUUCAAACAUGCUUAGCAGCACCAAAUAUUGAAAUAUCGUUACCAACAAAAAUUCACCUUUCAAAUUUAGCUGUGAUGUCAUAUACCGAAAAACAUUUACGUCUUGACAAAUUUUCACGAUUAAAAACAAAAAAUUUAAAAGAAUUCGUGAAUUUUUUGUCAAAAAAUGAAUAUUAUGAUCAAGUAUUAGCUGUAAAUGUACUUUGUCAAACAGCCUUAUGGACAUUAAUGACAAUUUUAGUACGCACACGUGGUUUAGUAUGUGAUGUAUUAGAGACAAUAUGUAAAUUAAUAAAAUCAACAAAUUGUGGAACAUCUGUAAUGCCUUCAACAAGUGAUUUAAAUGAUUAUUUUUUGUAUAUAUGUCUAACAGAACCAUCAAAUUCACAAUGUCUUCUUGUUAAACCUGCAAUAGCUAAAAUAUAUUUUAAUUUUAUACGUAAUAGGAUAGAUCAUUUAGAAGCACAAAUUUUACAGCGCCUAGUUGAGUUAUUAGACCCAACAAAUCCAACUAUCAGACCAAUUAUCUCCAGGCUUUUUGAAAUUUACAAAGUUCGUCAAAGGACAACAUCAACUGGUUUAGAAUCAACUGUGGAUCAUCAAGAUUCACUUGAAGCAAAUGAUGAACAACUAACAGCUUUUCAAGAUCUAAUGGAAACGUUUAUUCAUGUAAUGUUAAAACGCAUUCUAUUAAAUUAUCCUUCAAUAGUUUACGAUGAUCAGUUAAUGGUGUUAUCAAAAUGUUCAUACGCAGGCAAUCAAGAUCCGAUUGUAUUAAAUCGUAAAUAUCGGACACUUAGUGCUGGCUAUGGACAUGUUGCAUUAGUUCGAAACAAUACAGUAUGGACAUGGGGUAUCACUGCUCAUGGAUGCCUGGGUUUAGGCCCGUUAAUGACAAAAUUCCAUUUACCACAACCGAUUGAAGCUUUUAAUCAGCUUUGGUCAGAUAUUAUAAGUGUGGCUUGUGGUAGGACGCAUACGCUAAUUUUAACAAAUUUUGGUGUAUAUGCUUGUGGAUCGAACACCUAUGGUCAAUUGGGCCUAGAACAAAUUAUGCAAACUCCAUAUCCUAUUAUGAUUGAGAGUUUAUCAUCCGAAUUCAUUUGUGAUAUUUGUGUUGGGCAAUAUCACUCAUUAGCAUUAACUGCGUCGGGAAGAGUGUAUUCUUGGGGUUGGGGUGUACAUGGACAAUUGGGUCAUGGUAAUAUUGAAGAUGUGCGGACACCUACAUUAAUAGAAUAUUUUAAGGAUAUUGUAAUUGCACAAAUUGCUGCUGGUCAUGCGCAUACAUUAGUAUUAACUUCGAAAGGUAUUGUUUAUAGUUUUGGAUCGAAUUUUGUUGGACAAUUAGGUAUAGGAACAACAAGAAAGUAUAAUGUUCCUCAACAAAUUACAAAAUUGCCGGAAAAAAUUGUUUUAAUUAGUACGGAAUACUUUCAAAGUUUUGCAGUUAGUUCCUCAAAUAAAUUGUAUACGUGGGGUGCCAGUCCCCAAGUCUUACGACUUGCUGCACAAGCACAAAAAAAGGCUAAGUUACUUAAUAAUUCGAAUAUAUCUGUUGGCGAUAAUACAACAGUGAAUAAUCGUAAUGAAAUUAUUCCUAAUAAUAUUGAUAAUAAUGUGCCAAAUAUUGUGGGAGAAAAUUUGAAUGAGAAAUUGUCAAAUGCAGGUGAUAUUAGUUCUGAUUCAGAUACGGAUAUUACUCAAAAAAUUGAAAGUGAUGUUAAUAUCGAAGUGACACCACCGAUACUUGAUCCAGAAAUUCAACCACAUUUACAGCCAAAACUUGUAAAUACAUCUAAUGUAAACGGUAUUAUUGUAAACGUGGUAUCGGGAUGCCACCACGCUGUACUUCUAACCAAAGAUGGUACAAUGUAUGCUUGGGGUAAAAAUUUAGAUGGACAAUUAGGUAUUGGUUCACGAAAAGAAGUUUUAAUACCAACGCCAGUGAGAAUCAAUUCUGCAAAUUUUGUUAGCGGAGUGAAUACCCCUGUGAAACAGGAUGAUGUGAAUUUACAAGAAUUAAAAUGUAGUUAUGUUGCAUGUGGUGCUGAAUUUACGGUGGCUAUUGACUCAACAGGACGUGUUUUAGCAUGGGGAAAUAAUGCUUUUGCCCAGCUUGGUAAACUACCCGAUGAGGAUCAAAAAGGCCUAGAUGGAAAAAUGGUACUACUAAAAACAACUAAACGGAUUAUCAAACUACCCAGCUCAUUUCAAAAUAUAUGUGAUACACCCAAGGAAAUCAUGAAUAUACCAAGCCAAGUAAUUUCUUUUAAAAAUAACGAUAAAAAACAAUUUUCCAACACAAUUCCAACAUAUUUUUAUCCAUUAUCAAAAAUAGAACUAUCCGAAGAUUUAGCUGAAAAUAAAAAUGUGCUUACCUAUGGUCCAAAAACAUUACAUUUUGUUCUUGAAACAUAUCGUGGAUUUUAUGAUUCAGAUAAAAUAAUGAAACUAUGUUUAAAAUAUAAAAAUUACCAAGCGGCAAGUAAAAUAUCAUUUUUGGAAAAUUAUUUUACCGAUAGUUUAAAUUAUCAACUAAAAGGGCUGGAAAAUUUGAUACUUAAAAAGAAAAGUUGUACGGAAAUUAUAAACGAAAUACCAGUUUGUAAGAAACUUGAGGUUGAUACUCCAGUAGCGGGGCUAUCGAAUGGAGUUAAAGAAACGAUUAAUAGUGGUUUCGUGAAAAAGUUUACGGAAAAUGAUAUUAGUUUUAGUCCAUCUUUGGAGAGUAUAAAGCAAUUUAAUGAUGAUUUUGAAGAAAGUCAAGGUGGUCAAGAGGAAAUGUGCGAAGUAAUUCCUGAAGAUGUUACAACUAAAUUUGCGAACGUUUCAAUCGAUAUCGAUGAAGAUAAGAAAUUAUUGGUGCGCAAUACAAUCUUAGAAUAUGUGGACUCAAUCGACAGAAGUCUUAUUGACGAUGAUAAAUCAAUCGUACAAAAUUUAGAAAAUAAUUUAGUAAAUCAAGAAAAUAAUAAUUGUGAUGAGAAAAUUGGUGAUGAAAAACUAUCAUCAGAUGUUGAAAAUCAUAAUGGACCAAUGGUAAAUGAUGAUGGUAAAAUUAUACAAAUUACCGACACAACAUUGGUCGAUUAUGCAUCACAUAUUUUAAUGUUUUACAUAGAGAAAACUCAAAAUACAGAAAAUCAUAUUUUAAUGCAAAAUAUUUUGAUAAAAUCUAUGGAUUUUUGGUUAUCAAAUAAUUUACCAGUUGAAAUAUUAGAGAAUAUUUUGUUAAAAAAUAUGGCAAAAUAUUUUUAUCCAUUAUCAAUAUUAUUAUUUUGUAAAAAUUUUAAUAAUAAUUUAGGUGAAGCAAUAACUAAAACAGAUGAAACUUCUACAUCGUCAUCAACGUCAACGUCUACAACAACAACUCAAUCAGAAAAAUCAUUUAUGUUUUUAAAACAAUUAUCAACAAAAUUCUGUUUACAAUUAUGUUCGAUGGUGUUGAAAAAUGUAAAUAAAUCACAGCAAUCGAAUAAUACUGAUAAAUAAAGGUCGGAAAAAUGUGUGUUCAAAAUAAAAAAGUAAAACUUUCUUAAUUUUUGUUUGUUUUUGAAUAUCUUUUAAAUGACGGAUGUCUAUACUCUACACUAGAUGAAUAACCGGAAAUUCGCAUUGUGACUACUUAAUAUUUCAAUCGGAGCGGAUGCAACUGGAUUUUACUUUGAACAAUGAGAACCUUGCACAAAUUUUUAAUUUAUUUAAAUACUAGAUACUAGAAUAAGAAAAGUAAAAUUCAAACUUUAAAGAUGUGAAUUAUAUUUUGGAACUGUCUAUAUAACUGGAGGGUUCAUAGAAAGGAUAUUAAUU